CUGAUCAUUUUUUUUUGGUAAAAGGUGAAAGAUUUAUGCAAUCUGAAGAGAAAUCACUGUGUAUCCUCUGAUCAUUUCUUGACAAGCAUUUAACAUUAAAAAAAAGGAAAAAAAAUUUCUUCCUUUCAUUAUUCUACAUUAUUUUUCUAUCCUUUUGUUUGUUAUUUUCAGGAAAUUUCCUUUAUUUAGACUUUUCCACAAGGUAAUGCUACUUUUUGUUUCCUUGAAGGCUUAGGUUGCCCUGGUUAUGGGGGUAGAUUUGGCAGAGAGGGAGGGAUAGUGGUAGAUAGAAGGUGUCUUGAUUUAGAAUCUUGAACCCUAGAGACUAUAUUUCCCACAAUCCCCUUUUCCUUUUCCUGUUUGUGUGCCUCCUUAGGUGGAGGCAGUUUUGAGUUUCUGUUGCCCCCCACAGGGCUCUCUCUCUGGCUAGAAUCCAAACAAACACUGAAAAGGAAUGCAGUAGAGAGAGAGUCAUGAGAGCAAUCUGAUUGGAAGUCUGAUUUGGGUAAGUGUUAAAAUCUCUUAGAUCCUAAUGUUUGAGUAGGAAGAAUAUAGGAUUUAUCCACUUCU
This 570-nucleotide long non-coding RNA is filed under the name Monodelphis domestica (gray short-tailed opossum). RNAcentral's name for it is "lncRNA (ENSMODG00000034386.2)". The record is from RNAcentral. Lineage: Eukaryota; Metazoa; Chordata; Mammalia; Didelphimorphia; Didelphidae.